CCGUGAUGUGUUCAGGCAUGAUAUACUUAUGUCUGUUUAUACUAAAGCCUAACUAGCCUAUCUUACUCCACUAGUUGAAGAUGGCACCAACCCAGUCUAACAGAGUCAGUUCUCUUUUCUAAUUCCGGCCAGACUAGAGCAAAAGAGCUGGAAUCAAAGGAGAAAGAGAGAGAAAUGGAAGAGCAAACAAUAGCCUUCUACCCUCCAUUUCCAGCACAAGCUGGAGGCAAACAAAAAGAUGAGAUUGGAGCUCAACUGGUAGAAAAAAAGUCCGUAACUCAAAGGAGAUCAGCUACUUCUGCAGCAGGCCCUAUGCUAAUUACUUUAUAAGUACUCAUUCUUUCAACUUACACCAGCUCUAUGAGUGAGAGAAUUUAAUGAAGUUACUACAUUCUUAGGAAUUUUAUUUACAACCAGUAAAUCAGAUUAAAAAGUAGAGAGAAAGAAAUGAAGACUACCAGAAACCUCUUCGAGGAAAGGGCAUAUUUAUCUAGUUCAUCAUGUAUCCCAGGCAGGAAGCCUAGCACCCAGUGAAAACCACCACCCAGGAAAUCACAGUUUUGGUGUCUCUGUGGCCAUCAUGGCUCAGUUGUGAUGGCAAACUGCGGUGUCCAGGAUGCCUGGUGCAUAGCAGCAGAAGUGACUUGG
Molecule: long non-coding RNA, 648 nt
Organism: Heterocephalus glaber (naked mole-rat)
Lineage: Eukaryota; Metazoa; Chordata; Mammalia; Rodentia; Bathyergidae
Source: Ensembl